UGUGAGCGGCAGGCAUCAAGUAUUCCCUUCAUGGAAAGAAGCGUCCUUUGGUAUGGCUGAACCUGCAGGAAGAGACGUCCAGCAGCCCUAAGAACGUUGGAGUCCACGCAAAGUCCUGAAUGCAUCUUUGGAUCCCAGGAACGCGUUGGCAGAUCUCUGUUUCUCACUGUAUUUGCAGAUGUUACCUGUUAUUUGUGUAGCUGGAAAUACACAUGAAUAAAUGACACAUACUGAUGUAAGGAGGCUAUUCAGAAGGAAGCUAUGACCUUCACAGACCCAGAUGAAUGUGAGGCCCAUCUUUCAGAUCAGGGAGAUGUUUUUGCAAGGUCUCCAGAGCAAAGGACUGGCUCAGAAAGGUGACAUGUUCUCUGCUGAU
This is a long non-coding RNA of Nothoprocta perdicaria, 376 nucleotides long. RefSeq lists it as uncharacterized. The record is from RefSeq and is a predicted model, not a curated record. NCBI's taxonomy places the organism in Eukaryota, Metazoa, Chordata, Aves, Tinamiformes, Tinamidae. The transcript has 3 exons.